This 143-nucleotide ribosomal RNA is filed under the name Acinetobacter baumannii. Its description in RNAcentral is "partial 16S ribosomal RNA". It matches the Rfam family "Bacterial small subunit ribosomal RNA", at positions 1 to 141 of the family's 1533-position model. The record is from RNAcentral. Lineage: Bacteria; Pseudomonadati; Pseudomonadota; Gammaproteobacteria; Moraxellales; Moraxellaceae.
UUUAACUGAAGAGUUUGAUCAUGGCUCAGAUUGAACGCUGGCGGCAGGCUUAACACAUGCAAGUCGAGCGGGGGAAGGUAGCUUGCUACUGGACCUAGCGGCGGACGGGUGAGUAAUGCUUAGGAAUCUGCCUAUUAGUGGGG